This 468-nucleotide ribosomal RNA is filed under the name uncultured bacterium. RNAcentral's name for it is "partial 16S ribosomal RNA". It matches the Rfam family "Bacterial small subunit ribosomal RNA", at positions 28 to 507 of the family's 1533-position model. The record is from RNAcentral.
GACGAACGCUGGCGGCGUGCUUAAUACAUGCAAGUCGAACGGAAAGGCCCUGUACUUGUGGGAUGCGCGUGUGGCGAAAGGGUGAGUAAAACGUGAGUAACCUGUCCCUGACAUUGGGAUAACAUCAGGAAACAGGGGUUAAUAUCGGAUAUGAACACCUGCUGCAUGGGGGGGGUUGGAAAGAUGCGGCGGUUCGGGAAGGACACGUGGUCCAUCAGCGUGUUGGUGAGGUAGUGGCUUAACAAGGCUUGGACGGGAAGCCGGACUGAGAGGGUGACCGGCCACAUAGGCACAGGGAUGCGGCCAGUACUCAUACGGGAGGCAGCAGUGAGGGAUAGUCCGCGAUGGGCGGAGGCCGUAUGGAGCAACGUCGCGUCCUAGAUGACGGCCUUCAGAUUGUAACCCGCUUUCGCCUGUGACGAAGCGUAAGUGACGGUAAUGGGUAAGAAAGCAACGGCUAACUACGUG